GAUGAACGCUAGCUACAGGCUUAACACAUGCAAGUCGAGGGGCAGCAUGGUCUUAGCUUGCUAAGGCCGAUGGCGACCGGCGCACGGGUGAGUAACACGUAUCCAACCUGCCGUCUACUCUUGGACAGCCUUCUGAAAGGAAGAUUAAUACAAGAUGGCAUCAUGAGUCCGCAUGUUCACAUGAUUAAAGGUAUUCCGGUAGACGAUGGGGAUGCGUUCCAUUAGAUAGUAGGCGGGGUAACGGCCCACCUAGUCUUCGAUGGAUAGGGGUUCUGAGAGGAAGGUCCCCCACAUUGGAACUGGCACACGGUCCAAACUCCUACGGGAGGCAGCAGUGAGGAAUAUUGGUCAAUGGGCGCAUGCCUGAACCAGCCAAGUAGCGUGAAGGAUGACUGCCCUAUGGGUUGUAAACUUCUUUUAUAAAGGAAUAAAGUCGGGUAUGUAUACCCGUUUGCAUGUACUUUAUGAAUAAGGAUCGGCUAACUCCGUG
This 490-nucleotide ribosomal RNA is filed under the name uncultured bacterium. RNAcentral's name for it is "partial 16S ribosomal RNA". It matches the Rfam family "Bacterial small subunit ribosomal RNA", at positions 28 to 507 of the family's 1533-position model. The record is from RNAcentral.